UGAGAUGUGAGUGGAGUUACAUAAGCAAGGGCAGGGCAGCUCGGCCCACGAGAAGAGCCUGUUCAAAGGUGGGAGGUAUGGAGGCGGGCCUCUGGGUGGCUGCCGUGUGUGAGAAGGGAAGGCGGAUUGUGUCUCCAGGAGCAGCUACAGAUAAGAUGCAGCAUCGGCAGAGUGUUCUUGGCAUCACCACACUCUUGGCAAGUGCUUCGCGUUUCAUCUAGAACUCAGAGACCGUUCUAGUUGCACAGAAGGCUGAGAACAAGAUGGCCUCCAGCCCAGAGAGGUCUGGGCUGGCUGCCGGGGGCUGACUUCCCCAGGACUCAUCCCCAGCCCUUCCAACUGCACCCCUUCUGGAAGAUUGCCUCACUCCAUCCUCAACACCCCCCUUGCCUUGGAAGAUGCUCUUCCUUCCCCCUGGAAUAUUCCUCAUCACCGUUCUAUGCCCUAGAUCACCUGGGCUGGGAUCCAGGUGCCUCUGCCCGAGCUAAGUCCCUGCUCUGUACCCCCAGGGCACCAUGGAUUCGCCCAACCAUGCAUGACAUCCAGGACACUGGAAUGCUCUGCUCUCUGUCUGGCUGCCUCCCAGCCGGUACCCUCCAGGAGGGCAGGGACAGGGACCACGAAACCCUCAGUGGAUGUUUGCAGAGUGGACACAUGGAGAUUGGCUGGCUCCUCUCAUUUUCUGGCCUUACCUCCCUCAGAGGCAAUACCUUCAGAUGGCAAUAUAUUCAUUUCAUCUGGACCCACUUCUGACAGCCAUUUUGUUCAGUAACAGAGAUGCUGGAAUGAUGUCGCCUGUUGAUUAUUUUGGGGGUUUUGGGUUUGCUUUAGAAACCGAUGGGUUUGCUUUUGAAACUGAUGGGUUCAUUUCCUCUGGACUGCUUGUCUCAAAUAAUGGUGCCACGCAGACCAGAGGACAAAAGAUUCCCAAGUGUUUGACCUGCUUCAGCCUGUGUUUUGGGGCUAACAUGUGGGUUUGCUGCAGUGACCAUGGAGCUCUUGCCAGAGCUGGGCUCCCAGGACAGAUGUUGGAAUGCUCUGCAAUUUCAGAUGAGUCUUUUCAUGGUCAGGUGGGCAUCACUCAAGGAGAGAUGUAUAGUCUAUCUGCCUGAUGAGGUGUGAGCCUCACAGUGUGAGCCUUUCUCUCACCUAAUAACCACCUGGCACACCCAGUUGGCAUUCUGGCAUUUGGGCCACCUCAUGGUGCAGAGCAGGGGUCACCAAAUGACACCCCUCAAGCCAAAUCUAGCCCACAACCUGUUUUUGUAAAUAAAGUUUUAUCGGAACA
Molecule: long non-coding RNA, 1288 nt
Organism: Lynx canadensis (Canada lynx)
Lineage: Eukaryota; Metazoa; Chordata; Mammalia; Carnivora; Felidae
Exons: 2
Source: RefSeq, a predicted model, not a curated record